Molecule: ribosomal RNA, 253 nt
Filed under: uncultured bacterium
Lineage: Bacteria
Description: partial 16S ribosomal RNA
Rfam family: Bacterial small subunit ribosomal RNA
Source: RNAcentral
GACGUAGGGCGCGAGCGUUGUCCGGAUUUAUUGGGCGUAAAGAGCUCGUAGGCGGCUUGUCGCGUCGUCCGUGAAAACCUGCAGCUCAACUGCAGGCUUGCGGUCGAUACGGGCAGGCUAGAGUUCGGUAGGGGAGACUGGAAUUCCUGGUGUAGCGGUGAAAUGCGCAGAUAUCAGGAGGAACACCAGUGGCGAAGGCGGCGACCUGGGCCAAUAUUGACGCUGAGGUGCGAAAGCGUGGGGAGCAAACAGG